This 253-nucleotide ribosomal RNA is filed under the name uncultured bacterium. Its description in RNAcentral is "partial 16S ribosomal RNA". It matches the Rfam family "Bacterial small subunit ribosomal RNA", at positions 524 to 776 of the family's 1533-position model. The record is from RNAcentral.
UACGUAGGCAGCAAGCGUUGUUCGGAGUUACUGGGCGUAAAGAGUGCGUAGGGGGUGCCCUAAGUCUGUUGUGAAAUCUCCCGGCUUAACUGGGAGGGUGCGGUGGAAACUGGGGUGCUUGAGUGUGGGAGAGGUAAGCGGAAUUCCUGGUGUAGCGGUGAAAUGCGUAGAUAUCAGGAGGAACACCGGUGGUGUAGACGGCUUACUGGACCACGACUGACACUGAGGCACGAAAGCGUGGGGAGCAAACAGG